Molecule: transfer RNA, 69 nt
Filed under: Chelidoperca hirundinacea
Lineage: Eukaryota; Metazoa; Chordata; Actinopteri; Perciformes; Serranidae
Description: tRNA-Ala
Rfam family: tRNA
About the family: Transfer RNA (tRNA) molecules are approximately 80 nucleotides in length. Their secondary structure includes four short double-helical elements and three loops (D, anti-codon, and T loops).
Source: RNAcentral
AAGGCUUUAGCUUAAUUAAAGCGCCUGUUUUGCAUGCAGGAGAUGUAGGUGAGAGUCUUGCAAGUCUUA